This 520-nucleotide ribosomal RNA is filed under the name uncultured Glomeromycotina. Its description in RNAcentral is "SSU rRNA". It matches the Rfam family "Eukaryotic small subunit ribosomal RNA", at positions 569 to 1082 of the family's 1831-position model. Lineage: Eukaryota; Fungi; Glomeromycota. The record is from RNAcentral.
AGCAGCCGCGGUAAUUCCAGCUCCAAUAGCGUAUAUUAAAGUUGUUGCAGUUAAAAAGCUCGUAGUUGAAUUUCGGGAUUUGCACAUCGGUCGUGCCUUAAGGGGUAUGAACUGGUGUAGUGAAUUUCUCACCUUCUGGAGAACCGUGAUGUCCUUAAUUGGGUGCCACGAGGAACCAGGACCUUUACUUUAGAAAAAUUAGAGUAGUUUAAAGCAGGCAUUUUUGCUUGAAUACAUUAGCAUGGAAUAAUAAAAUAGGACGGCAUGAUUCUAUUUUGUUGAUUUCUAGGAUCACCGUAAUGAUUAAUAGGGAUAGUUGGGGGCAUUAGUAUUCAAUUGUCAGAGGUGAAAUUCUUGGAUUUAUUGAAGACUAACUACUGCGAAAGCAUUUGCCAAGGAUGUUUUCAUUAAUCAAGAACGAAAGUUAGGGGAUCGAAGACGAUCAGAUACCGUCGUAGUCUUAACCAUAAACUAUGCCGACUAGGAAUCAGACGAUGUUAAUUUUUUAAUGACUCGUUUG